Molecule: ribosomal RNA, 539 nt
Filed under: uncultured bacterium
Lineage: Bacteria
Description: bacterial SSU rRNA
Rfam family: Bacterial small subunit ribosomal RNA
Source: RNAcentral
UAGGGAAUAUUCCACAAUGAGCGAAAGCUUGAUGGAGCGACACAGCGUGCACAACGAAGGUCUUAUGGAUUGUAAGGUGCUGUUGCAAGGGAAGAAAAAGUAGUUGAGGAAAUGCUUCUACAUUGACGGUACCUUGUUAGAAAGCGAUGGCUAACUAUGUGCCAGCAGCCGCGGUAAUACAUAGGUCGCAAGCGUUAUCCGGAAUUAUUGGGCGUAAAGCGUUCGUAGGCUGUUUAUUAAGUCUGGAGUCAAAUCCCAGGGCUCAACCCUGGCUCGCUUUGGAUACUGGUAAACUAGAGUUGGAUAGAGGUAAGCGGAAUUCCAUGUGAAGCGGUGAAAUGCGUAGAUAUAUGGAAGAACACCAAAGGCGAAGGCAGCUUACUGGGUUUAUACUGACGCUGAGGAACGAAAGCGUGGGGAGCAAACAGGAUUAGAUACCCUGGUAGUCCACGCCGUAACGAUGAUCAUUAGUCGGCAGAGAACUGUUGACGCAGCUAACGCAUUAAAUGAUCCGCCUGAGUAGUAUGCUCGCAAGAGUA